Molecule: ribosomal RNA, 573 nt
Filed under: uncultured bacterium
Lineage: Bacteria
Description: partial 16S ribosomal RNA
Rfam family: Bacterial small subunit ribosomal RNA
Source: RNAcentral
UGGGGAAUUUUGGACAAUGGGCGAAAGCCUGAUCCAGCAAUGCCGCGUGUGUGAAGAAGGCCUUCGGGUUGUAAAGCACUUUUGUCUGGAAAGAAAUCCUUGGCUCUAAUACAGUUGGGGGAUGACGGUACCGGAAGAAUAAGCACCGGCUAACUACGUGCCAGCAGCCGCGGUAAUACGUAGGGUGCAAGCGUUAAUCGGAAUUACUGGGCGUAAAGCGUGCGCAGGCGGUUUGCUAAGACCGAUGUGAAAUCCCCGGGCUCAACCUGGGAACUGCAUUGGUGACUGGCAGGCUAGAGUAUGGCAGAGGGGGGUAGAAUUCCACGUGUAGCAGUGAAAUGCGUAGAGAUGUGGAGGAAUACCGAUGGCGAAGGCAGCCCCCUGGGCCAAUACUGACGCUCAUGCACGAAAGCGUGGGGAGCAAAACAGGAUUAGAUACCCCUGGUAGUCCACGCCCUAAACGAUGUCAACUAGUUGUUGGGGAUUCAUUUCCUUAGUAACGUAGCUAACGCGUGAAGUUGACCGCCUGGGGAGUACGGUUGCAAGAUUAAAACUCAAAUGAAUUGACGGGGU